This 603-nucleotide ribosomal RNA is filed under the name uncultured fungus. RNAcentral's name for it is "eukaryotic LSU rRNA". It matches the Rfam family "Eukaryotic large subunit ribosomal RNA", at positions 23 to 641 of the family's 3401-position model. The record is from RNAcentral. Lineage: Eukaryota; Fungi.
ACCCGCUGAACUUAAGCAUAUCAAUAAGCGGAGGAAAAGAAACCAACAGGGAUUGCCCUAGUAACGGCGAGUGAAGCGGCAACAGCUCAAAUUUGAAAUCUGGCUCUUUUAGAGUCCGAGUUGUAAUUUGCAGAGGGCGCUUUGGCUUUGGCAGCGGUCCAAGUUCCUUGGAACAGGACGUCACAGAGGGUGAGAAUCCCGUACGUGGUCGCUGGCUAUUGCCGUGUAAAGCCCCUUCGACGAGUCGAGUUGUUUGGGAAUGCAGCUCUAAAUGGGAGGUACAUUUCUUCUAAAGCUAAAUAUUGGCCAGAGACCGAUAGCGCACAAGUAGAGUGAUCGAAAGAUGAAAAGCACUUUGGAAAGAGAGUCAAACAGCACGUGAAAUUGUUGAAAGGGAAGCGCUUGCAGCCAGACUUGCUUGCAGUUGCUCAUCCGGGCUUUUGCCCGGUGCACUCUUCUGUAGGCAGGCCAGCAUCAGUUUGGGCGGUAGGAUAAAGGUCUCUGUCACGUACCUCUCUUCGGGGAGGCCUUAUAGGGGGGACGACAUACUACCAGCCUGGACUGAGGUCCGCGCAUCUGCUAGGAUGCUGGCGUAAUGGCUGU